AGGUUAAGUUAGAAAGGGCGCACGGUGAAUGCCUUGGCACUAGGAGCCGACGAAGGACGCGACGAACAGCGAUAUGCCUCGGGGAGUUGUAAGUAAACUUUGAUCCGGGGAUUUCCGAAUGGGGGAACCCACUAUCCGUAAUGGGAUGGUAUCCAUAUCUGAAUACAUAGGGUAUGAGAAGGCAGACCUGGGGAACUGAAACAUCUAAGUACCCAGAGGAAGAGAAAGAAAUAUUCGAUUACCUGAGUAGCGGCGAGCGAAACGGUAACAGCCCAAACCAAGGGGCUUGCCCCUUGGGGUUGUAGGACACUCUAUACGGAGUUACAAAGAAACGAAGUAGACGAAGCGAUCUGGAAAGGUCCGCGAA
RNAcentral lists this ribosomal RNA (367 nucleotides) under Anaerobacillus alkalilacustris. Its description in RNAcentral is "bacterial LSU rRNA". It matches the Rfam family "Bacterial large subunit ribosomal RNA", at positions 1 to 358 of the family's 2925-position model. Lineage: Bacteria; Bacillati; Bacillota; Bacilli; Caryophanales; Bacillaceae. The record is from RNAcentral.